AGAUAGUGAUGAUAAUGAUAAUAGUCUUUUCCUGUUGAAAUGUAAAAUCUUUGAAGGUCUUUGCCAUGAGCUCAGGACAGGGACAUCUGCAUGCAUCUGUGAUCCUUUUCCCCUGGACCUUUCUCAUCAUAGACCUCUCACCCGGGUGAGGAAUAGUAAAGUGGAGGAAUUCCAUGGAGACUGGAACAACCUCCAGGAAGUGAUGCAGAGUGAGAGGAGCAGAACCAGGAGAACAUUGUACACAGAGACUGAUACACUGUGGUACAAUCGAACGGACUGAAAU
Molecule: long non-coding RNA, 283 nt
Filed under: Monodelphis domestica (gray short-tailed opossum)
Lineage: Eukaryota; Metazoa; Chordata; Mammalia; Didelphimorphia; Didelphidae
Description: lncRNA (ENSMODG00000035195.2)
Source: RNAcentral